ACNNNNNNNGCUGCUUUACCAUGCAGUCGAACGGUAACAGGUCUAGCUUGCUAGAUGCUGACGAGUGGCGGACGGGUGAGUAACGCGUAGGAAUCUACCUUGUAGUGGGGGAUAACUUGGGGAAACCCAAGCUAAUACCGCAUGAGCCCUAAGGGGGAAAGCAGGGGACCGAAAGGCCCUGUGCUAUGAGAUGAGCCUGCGUCGGAUUAGCUAGUUGGUGGGGUAAAGGCCUACCAAGGCGAGGAUCCGUAGCUGGUCUGAGAGGACGACCAGCCACACUGGGACUGAGACACGGCCCAGACUCCUACGGGAGGCAGCAGUGGGGAAUAUUGGACAAUGGGCGCAAGCCUGAUCCAGCAAUGCCGCGUGUGUGAAGAAGGCCUGCGGGUUGUAAAGCACUUUCAGUGGGGAGGAAGGUCUCAAUGCUAAUAGUAUUGAGAAUUGACGUUACCUACAGAAGAAGCACCGGCUAACUCUGUGCCAGCAGCCGCGGUAAUACAGAGGGUGCGAGCGUUAAUCGGAAUUACUGGGCGUAAAGGGCGCGUAGGUGGUUACUUAAGUCAGAUGUGAAAUCCCUGGGCUUGACCUAGGAAUUGCAUUUGGUACUGAGUGGCUAGAGUAUGGGAGAGGUAAGUGGAAAUUUCCGGUGUAGCGGUGAAAUGCGUAGAUAUCGGAAGGAACACCAGUGGCGAAGGCGACUUACUGGCCCAUUACUGACACUGAGGCGCGAAAGCGUGGGGAGCGAACAGGAUUAAAUACCC
Molecule: ribosomal RNA, 761 nt
Filed under: uncultured Gammaproteobacteria bacterium
Lineage: Bacteria; Pseudomonadati; Pseudomonadota; Gammaproteobacteria
Description: bacterial SSU rRNA
Rfam family: Bacterial small subunit ribosomal RNA
Source: RNAcentral